GGACGGAAGCUUCUGCCAUUUUAAUUCCUUUGUUAAUGUCUUUAUGAAUGCAAUUAACACUUCAUUCACGCUUCUUUGUUUCUGGAUCCCAUUAGGAUGUGGUUUAUGCCAGCUUCUCUCUCCCAGGAGACAGCCCGCAUCACACAACAUUUCACUUAGCUGUGUGGCUGAGCACUGACAAACUCAAUUUGCAAAAGGCAAGCGUGAGUUGACACCAUGCUGUGGCAGUGGUCCUGAAGGGAGCAAAGGACUCAUUUCCUUCACAGGUAGAACCCACCUUCUCUGGAAGCAUGCUUGUCCAAGAUUAUAGCAGACGAGGAGAGAGUGAUCUUUGCCAGCCUGAGAAUGAAACGUUUCCCCGACGGCUUACGCUGUGUUUGAUGACCAACCAUGUCGAACACUUUUUGCUGUGCUGCCAGACACUCUUGUUCCUCCUUUUGUAAAUUGCACGUAUAUGUCAUUGUCCUGUUUAGCAUUAGCUGUAGAGUGAGGCCAAAAAAAAGCGAAACAUAACCCAAAUAGUCCGUGCACAUUCACGGGCCUUGGAAGAUAAAAACACAUUGGCAUUUAUGACCAGAACAAAUUUACAUUCUUUGCCUAAAUGGAUACCCUGCUCUAUAUAUUUCAGAAGGAAGCUAACAUUUACAGAACAUCUAUUAUUAAGCACAUUUACUCUUUAAAAUGGCCCUCACCAUUUAAUUCUUACAGCUUCAUUUAAUUUCAGAAAAACUCUUAAAAGGAACUCCACUUUUGGUGUGAGGUCACCUAGAAACAAGGAAGUGGGCCCUC
Molecule: long non-coding RNA, 789 nt
Filed under: Ictidomys tridecemlineatus (thirteen-lined ground squirrel)
Lineage: Eukaryota; Metazoa; Chordata; Mammalia; Rodentia; Sciuridae
Description: lncRNA (ENSSTOG00000033317.1)
Source: RNAcentral